This 522-nucleotide long non-coding RNA is filed under the name Crocodylus porosus (Australian saltwater crocodile). RNAcentral describes it as "lncRNA (ENSCPRG00005003984.1)". Lineage: Eukaryota; Metazoa; Chordata; Crocodylia; Crocodylidae. The record is from RNAcentral.
CGUUCAGAGACCUAGUGGCCCAUAAUGACUGUCAGAGUAACUUCAGUGAGGAUAAUUAAAGCACAGCAUAUUUUGUCCAUAUCCCUGAUUCCUCCUUGUUACCUUAUUCUCAGGAUACUGGAAGCUGUCAGACGGUGGAGGCUGGGUAUAAAGCUGCUCCUGUUGCUUAUAGUUAUAGCAGCUGUCAUCAUGUGGCAGGUUUACUGCUGAUGGAUCUCAUUGGUGUAUACACAGCUGUGCAUACCUGGCACACAAGUAUGUCAGUAAUAACAGUGAACUCAGCAAAUAAGAAGUACCUAACAGGACUAUACUCUCAUUUGGCUCUUACAAUAUGAAAAGAAUCAGAAAACAUUUAGAAGACAUGAUGACGCUGGGAUUUCAGUAGUUGGCAGCUUCAAUACUGUAAUAUUUUUGGCAGGUGGUAUCAGCUACAAGGCUACAUUCAUUGGGGCAAAAGUCAAAGGAGCUACAACAAGGAGAUAUAUCAAUAAACACAUAUUUGUUAGAUAUAUUACUGGGUUU